CAAUAGCGUAUAUUAAAGUUGUUGCGGUUAAAAAGCUCGUAGUUGGAUUUCUGCCGAGGACGACCGGUCCGCCCUCCGGGUGAGUAUCUGGCUCGGCCUGGGCAUCUUCUUGGAGAACGUAGCUGCACUUGGCUGUGUGGUGCGGUAUUCAGGACUUUUACUUUGAGGAAAUUAGAGUGUUUCAAGCAGGCAUACGCCUUGAAUACAUUAGCAUGGAAUAAUAAGAUAGGACCUCGGUUCUAUUUUGUUGGUUUCUAGAUCUGAGGUAAUGAUUAAUAGGGAUAGUUGGGGGCAUUCGUAUUUAACUGUCAGAGGUGAAAUUCUUGGAUUUGUUAAAGACGGACUACUGCGAAANCANNNGCCAAGGAUGUUUUCAUNGA
This 380-nucleotide ribosomal RNA is filed under the name uncultured eukaryote. RNAcentral's name for it is "partial 18S ribosomal RNA". It matches the Rfam family "Eukaryotic small subunit ribosomal RNA", at positions 592 to 976 of the family's 1831-position model. The record is from RNAcentral.